UCGAACGGUAACGACACUAGCUUGCUAGUGGUCGACGAGUGGCGGACGGGUGAGUAACGCGUAGGAAUCUACCUAGUAGUGGGGGAUAGCCAAGGGAAACUUUGGGUAAUACCGCAUACGAUCUAAGGAUGAAAGGGGGCCUCUCUUUGAAGCUCUCGCUAUUAGAUGAGCCUGCGUAAGAUUAGCUUGUUGGUGGGGUAAUGGCCCACCAAGGCGACGAUCUUUAGCUGGUCUGAGAGGAUGAUCAGUCACACUGGAACUGAGACACGGUCCAGACUCCUACGGGAGGCAGCAGUCGGGAAUAUUGGACAAUGGGGGAAACCCUGAUCCAGCCAUGCCGCGUGUGUGAAGAAGGCCCUAGGGUUGUAAAGCACUUUUAGUAGUGAGGAAGGCUCAGUAGUUAAUACCUACUGGGAUUGACGUUAGCUACAGAAAAAGCACCGGCUAAUUUCGUGCCAGCAGCCGCGGUAAUACGAAAGGUGCAAGCGUUAAUCGGAAUUACUGGGCGUAAAGCGCGCGUAGGCGGCUUGGUAAGUUGGAUGUGAAAGCCCCGGGCUCAACCUGGGAACUGCAUCCAAAACUGCCUAGCUAGAGUAUGGUAGAGGAUGGCGG
Molecule: ribosomal RNA, 612 nt
Filed under: Saccharospirillum salsuginis
Lineage: Bacteria; Pseudomonadati; Pseudomonadota; Gammaproteobacteria; Oceanospirillales; Saccharospirillaceae
Description: bacterial SSU rRNA
Rfam family: Bacterial small subunit ribosomal RNA
Source: RNAcentral